RNAcentral lists this long non-coding RNA (4397 nucleotides) under Heterocephalus glaber (naked mole-rat). RNAcentral describes it as "lncRNA (ENSHGLG00100048169.1)". Lineage: Eukaryota; Metazoa; Chordata; Mammalia; Rodentia; Bathyergidae. The record is from RNAcentral.
CGGCUGCCGUCCGCGCGCGAGGGAGGCCGGGCGAGCGCGGGAGGCCGGGGCGCCCCUUCCGCUCCCGAGGAGAUGAGCAGGUGGGGAGGCGGGAAAGAGGGCCCAGGGAGCCGCGGCUUCGCUGCGCCGAGGGCUGGGAGCGCCCGAGGCCGGGGUGCUGCACCCCAGCACCCAGGGAAGCCACCGAACAAAGUCACGGCUCUCCUUGUGCUUGUAACCGUCAGGCCUCUGGGACCCUGCACGGGGGCUGCCCGCACCGCACCGCCUGUCAUUCAGAAGGCCCUGGACUGACCUCCCGUCCACCCCGGGAUUGCCCCUGGCGCGCUUGGUUGGGCGGAGGAGAAUCAUGCCUCAAACUGCACCUUCUUCUGUGAGGCAUCUCCCUGUUCUUUGCUAUCCCUUCCUUUCCUCCCGGUACUCUUGCCUUCUAGCAUGGAAAUCUAUUGGCUGUUUUCAUGGCUUUAUAACCUUUCUUAAGCUGGGAAUACCCGACCCACCUCAGGAAGCUGUCGUUCCAAGUGUGUCUAAAACCUGCCGUCCUCUCCCUGGCCCGGUAAUCAUCAUGCUGUGCCGUGUACCUACUCAGACUCAGCCGCCGCCCUGCGAGUGUGUGACUUGUCGUCAUUAGUACUCCACUCAGGUGUAGUGGGUGCCUACUACAUCCUCGGUAGGGUGCUUGGUUCUACCAGGGAGACAAAGGAGUCAGACAGUUGUCCUUUAUUGUGUGUGGGCGGGGAAAUAUUCAUUUGGGCCCUUUCUCCUUUCGAAGGUACGGUUGACCAGAAGUCCUUUUGCUCUUGUUCACUUCAUGCUAUUGUCUACAACACCUGUUUCUGGGCAUCAACCACUACUACUGUUGGGGGGGACCCCUAAAUUUGUAACCCGCCUUGUAGACAUGGUCAGUUGAUCAAGUAACUCAUCCUCCCUGAGCCUCAGAAUCUUUGUGUUAAUGGGGCGUAAUCAGACACAAAUGUCACAGUAGGAUGUUUGUUGGAAUCAAAGUCACCAGUAGAUAAUGGCCACGAAAGCCGUUUGUGAGACAUACAUCAUGGAAGAAAAUGUAGUGUAUUUGCUGAUAACUUAUAAACCCUUCCAGGACCUUAGACAAGUGCCUGUCUACAUGGUUUGUCCACAGCUGCCUUUUUUGGGGGGUACUGGGGAUCGGACUCCGGACCUUGUGCUUUUGAGGCAGGCAGCAGAACCACUGAGCUAAAUCCCCAGUCCCAUAGCUACCUUUUAAAAAAAGUAUCUGAAGCCAACUUCAGCAUCUUCCCCAUUCCACAAGUUGCUUCAUUUCUUGUGCAGUGGACCUGGAUACAAAUUGUUCUGCCUGGAAAGGUUUAUGAAUCACAAGACAACCAACAUCAACAAGUUCUACUUUUGCACGUUGAGUACCAAACAAAUGACAAUUUCAUUGGAAUGAAAUUUUCCUAUCAAAAUUCGUUGAGUACUAAAUUCACCAGUUUUAAAACAGUUGAGUAGCAUGGUAUGACUGUAUUAUAUUGGAAAUGGCACUUGUAUCUUUCAGUUAACCUAGUUAGAAGUUAGUUUAUUUAACACAUUUCAUUGACCCAGGCUUGAAAGCUUAGCAUUGAUUAUUGCUUCUCAUCUAGAUCCUACCCUUGAAAACAUGCUCAAAUAUUAUCUUUUCACUGAUGCUUCCUAAUCUCCCUACUUGAAAUAAAUCUUUGCACCUCAGUGCUUCCAUAGCAUUUUAUUUAUUUCAUAAUAGCAUAUUAUACUUAAUUGUAUUUUAAUAAAGCAAGACAGUGGGCUUGCUGCAAAUGCUGAAUUCAGUGAUGAUAAAGUGCUGACAGCCUACAGAGAGGAAAUGGAUACCUGUGAGCACUAUCGGGUAAGGUUUCACAUAGGAGAGAGGCCAAUGUCAUCCUUGUGAGGGGCCGACCAGGCCAUGGGCAGGGAGAUGAAGUUCCAGGUGGCGAGGAGACUCACAGCUUUUAGGGGACAGAGUUGGGGUGAUUUGACUUGCCUUGAAUAACACGUAACACAAUGCUAUUCACAACACUGAAUGAUUUUCCCGGUAACUUUUUGAAUUAUCUUUGUGUUCCCUGGAGGAUGUGUGUAGUAUGAGUUGUAGAAUCACAAGAAAUCCAAUUCUCAAAUUGUAUACAUUAGCUAUGAAGAAACGUUUCUUGUUGGGAGACAAGAAACUCUUUGUUAAAUUUUUCCCUUCAGUGCUGGGAAUGGAACCAAAGGCCUGGUAUAUACUAGGCCAGUGCUCUAUCACUGAGGCACACUCCCAACCCAAGAAACUCUUCAAAGGGUGACCUGCUUCUAGAGCCUCCUCACGAAGCUAAUUUUCUCCCUUUCUCGUUGUUUCUAGGGCAGAGUUUUAAUGAAACAGGAAAUUUUCAUCUCUCACAACAAAUUUACAGAUAGCUAUCACAUCCAGGAAAUGUUUGUAUGCCAAGGCCAUUACAGCUACAAGAAAUGCUGCAGUAGCAAAGUUCAGUAAGAAGAAAGAAGGAAACAUCGAGAAGAUUGAAAGGCUCCCAGUAUUUAGUUGUCCAUGUUCCUGUUCCUAUUGUUUUGUUUUGGUUUUCUCUUACUGUAAUAAGCAACUUUAUUUACUAAUAUAAGUCACCAUGAAUCCCCAGCCCCAAAAGAAUGGCUCUAGUGUUUUUUAAAAUUAUAUUACCCUUUUCGUAAAAAAUGCUUCUUCAAUUGAACAAUUCCAAUUAGGAUUCUUCAUUGAGGAAUCAGUAACUGCCUUGAUUUAGUAUUAUUUGGAAGCUUUUGUGUUUUUUUAAAUUGCUUUAUGUAGAAAUUAGAGCAAGAUGUGGGAUGAUUCCACUCAGUUUCUGUGAAGUCUUGCCAUUCAAAAUUAUUAUUACGCAAGACCAUUAUAAAAGUACAUACACUGUCAAGCUUACCCAGAAGGCAAUAAGUGGCAUCCAAAUGCAAGAAGUAGGCUCCAAAAUUUCAGUUUCGACAUGUGAAUUUUUCUGGGGGAGGAGAUCAUGAUGCAAUGCAGCAUAGCUCACUAUCUGGGAGUUUCAGGGUCUGAACAUGCAAUCUAAAUUCCUCCUGGGUUUGGAUCCAACUGGGGUUUCCCACACUCUAGUUUAAAUUUUGACAGUGCUUCUUCUGCCUUCGGUAGCUGGCUGGGACUUCCUGUGUGGAGGCAGUGGUUCCAGGAAUCUACUAGUUAGUUGGUACCUUUUUUGGUUGGUCUGAUGUGGGGAUUGAACUGAGAGAAGAUGAUUGAACAAGGGAUGACCCAGGAGCUAACCAUUUUCCAGACUGUCUCCUCUUCAAGAACAGCUGGAGAACUUACGCUGCCUUCCUUGGAAGACAGGAAGCUGAGUGGGGAAGAGGAGUCAAGCUCCAGGGCAUUAUAUGUUUAUCACAUACACUGUAAAGUGGAAACAUACGUUGCCAGCAUUAUAUGAAUUAUAGUAGAUCCAUAUGGCAGAAUAGUAUAUAUCAACAAAAUUGCUGUUUUUCAGCUGAGGUUGUAGCUCAGUGGUAAAGUGCAUGCUUAGCAUGAGAGGCCAUAGGUUCAAUCUCCAGCACCAAAAUUAAAUAAAAUAAAAUUUCAUAGAAAGUGUACUGACAUAAACAUUAAGCAUUAUUAAUUAUUAAUAGCCAUUGAUAUUAUUAUAAGUGAAAAUAGGACAUAUUUAAAUGUUAUAUGGUUUGGAUGUAUGUACAUACAAAAUAAUAAAAAAUAUGUCAGUGGGGACAGUGCUAUAUGGGUGUGCUAUUUGGUGUAUAGAUGAUUUAAAAAAUAUAUUUCUACAUAUUUUUUAUCCAUGUAGGAUUGAACUCAGGGUCCUAGAACUGAGCUAUAGCCCCAGCCCUUUUGUAUUUUUUAUUUUGAGACAGGAUUUCUCUAAGUCAGUUGCUCAGGCGGAGCUGAAAAUUGGGAUCUUCCACCCUCCCCUCUAAGAGUGCUGGAAUUAUAGGCAUCUACCACCACACCUCAUUUCUAGUGACCUUAUCUCUACAUUUUCCAACUUUUAUAUGAUGAAUAUGUGUUUCUUUUAUACUGAUAAUUUUUAAAAAUUCAACUAUCUUCCCUGGUUAGAUAAAUAAUCAAGUAAUGACAUACAGUAUACUAACCCAGUUUCUAUAAUACAACGGUCUUUUCAGUUACUCCUCACUAUUUGUCUGAGUUAGUGUAGGAUGUAGGCAGUGAUGAACUAAGCUGAUAGUGGAACAGUUCAUUUUUCUAUAAGUAGGAAGGAAGGAAAGCUCUUCUGAGUUCUCAAGAGUCAUUACGCAAAAAAAAAUUUCAAAAUGUUUUUACAUUUUUACUCCAAAAAAUUGGCUCCAAAAGAGAACUGUGAAAUCAAUACCAAUCGUAAACAUUUGAUUAAAUGUCUGCAAAACAUACCUUGAGUUUCUUAAUUAGAAUAAAAACUGUGAUUACA